UCAGUCGACUCCUACGGGGAGGCAGCAGUGGGGAAUAUUGCACAAUGGGCGCAAGCCUGAUGCAGCCAUGCCGCGUGUAUGAAGAAGGACCUUCGGGUUGUAAAGUACUUUCAGCAGUGAGGAAGGCAGGUACGUUAAUAGCGUGCUUGUUUGACGUUAGCUGCAGAAGAAAGCACCGGCUAACUCCGUGCCAGCAGCCGCGGUAAUACGGAGGGUGCGAGCGUUAAUCGGAAUUACUGGGCGUAAAGCGCAUGCAGGUGGUUCGUUAAGUCAGAUGUGAAAGCCCGGGGCUCAACCUCGGAAUUGCAUUUGAAACUGGCGGACUAGAGUACUGUAGAGGGGGGUAGGAAUUUCAGGUGUAGCGGUGAAAUGCGUAGAGAUCUGAAGGAAUACCGGUGGCGAAGGCGGCCCCCUGGACAGAUACUGACACUCAGAUGCGAAAGCGUGGGGAGCAAACAGGAUUAGAUACCCUGGUAG
This 477-nucleotide ribosomal RNA is filed under the name uncultured bacterium. RNAcentral describes it as "bacterial SSU rRNA". It matches the Rfam family "Bacterial small subunit ribosomal RNA", at positions 328 to 793 of the family's 1533-position model. The record is from RNAcentral.